Molecule: long non-coding RNA, 2599 nt
Filed under: Gouania willdenowi (blunt-snouted clingfish)
Lineage: Eukaryota; Metazoa; Chordata; Actinopteri; Blenniiformes; Gobiesocidae
Description: lncRNA (ENSGWIG00000003770.1)
Source: RNAcentral
AAACUAGUUCUGCUGACAGGCUUCACACACUCCUCUCAGAGGUUGGAUGAUAACAGCUCACACUGCAACGUGCACAAGUUCGCUUGGAUUAAAAACAAAAAACAAUCCUGAGAGGUGCUGACUGUGUCCACUCACACAUAUGGAAGCUGUGAUAGGACUUCUGCUUGUGUUGCUCCAAGUUUCAUUUGGUGUGGAAAAUCACUGUGAUGGCAGACAGAAUAACGCUCAGUGUUAUGCAGCUUUGGAUGGAUCUAUAUUCAUCAGGCUGAUGGACAGCGCUGUAGAAAAUCAUACAUACAUGUGGUCUAAAUAUAAAAGUAUAUUAUUGGUAGUGAAGAAUAAACAUGUUAUAAUGAAUACUUUAGAGAAGAGAGCAGAUUUUACUACACAAAAUGGUAUUUAUAGAAUAAAUCAACUAAAGUCGAGUGACAGUGGCCAGUAUCGACUUGAUGUUUUUGUAGAUGGGGGACAAAAAGAAGAACGGAAACUAAAUUUGUCUUUUCAAGGUCAGUUGUUUCUUUUUGGUUUGUCCAUAUAGAGUAAAGUGUACACUCAGAUUAUUUAUAAUCUGUAAACAAUCUCUUACACAGCUCCAGUAUCUUCUGUCCAGCUCGUCCCUACAUGUCUUUCUAUGGGGGAGAAGAAAGUUUCCUGCUCCUCUAAAGGGGACAGUCUUCUCUACAGCUGGACUCUGGAUGGACGCCCUCUGACAGACUCUGACCUCGUCCCAAAGGGCAGCAACACCAACAUUAUUCACCUGAAACUACAAACUGUAGGAAAACUGGUCUGUCAUGUCCAAAACAAAGUCAGCAAAAGCUCUGGUGAAGUGACGUUAACCACUUGUGGUGUGGAAAAUCACUGUGAUGGCAGACAGAAUAACGCUCAGUGUUAUGCAGCUUUGGAUGGAUCUAUAUUCAUCAGGCUGAUGGACAGCGCUGUAGAAAAUCAUACAUACAACUGGAAUAAAGAUAAAAGUAGAUUAUUGGUAGUGAAUAAUAAACGUGUUAUAACAAAUACUUUAGAGAAGAGAGCAGAUUUUACUACACAAAAUGGUAUUUAUAGAAUAAAUCAACUAAAGUCGAGUGACAGUGGCCAGUAUCGACUCGAAGUUUUUGUAGAUGGGGGAAAAAAAGAAGAAGAACGGAUACUAAAUUUGUCUGUUCAAGCUCCAGUAUCUUCUGUCCAGCUCGUCCCUACAUGUCUUUCUAUGGGGGAGAAGAAAGUUUCCUGCUCCUCUAAAGGGGACAGUCUUCUCUACAGCUGGACUCUGGAUGGACGUCCUCUGACAGACUCUGACCUCGUCCCAAAGGGCAGCAACACCAACAUUAUUCACCUGAAACUACAAACUGUAGGAAAACUGGUCUGUCAUGUCCAAAACAAUGUCAGCAAAAGCUCUGGUGAAGUGACGUUAACCACUUGUGGUUACAUCUUCAUAAACUGCACUUUGUCCAAUGGGACAGACAUAUUGCAGUGGGUGCUUGAGGCCACUAACACGUUGUGUGUUGACCCAACAACAGCCCCUAUGGGUGUGGAAAAUCACUGUGAUGGCAGACAGAAUAACGCUCAGUGUUAUGCAGCUUUGGAUGGAUCUAUAUUCAUCAGGCUGAUGGACAGCGCUGUAGAAAAUCAUAUAUACAUGUGGUUUAAAUAUACAAGUAAAUUAUUGGUAGUGAAUAAUAAACGUGUUAUAAUGAAUACUUUAGAGAAGAGAGCAGAUUUUACUACACAAAAUGGUAUUUAUAGAAUAAAUCAACUAAAGUCGAGUGACAGUGGCCAGUAUCGACUUGAAUAUUUUGUAGAUGGGGGAAAAAAAGAAGAACGGAAACUAAAUUUGUCUGUUCAAGCUCCAGUAUCUUCUGUCCAGCUCGUCCCUACAUGUCUUUCUAUGGGGGAGAAGAAAGUUUCCUGCUCCUCUAAAGGGGACAGUCUUCUCUACAGCUGGACUCUGGAUGGACGCCCUCUGACAGACUCUGACCUCGUCCCAAAGGGCAGCAACACCAACAUUAUUCACCUGAAACUACAAACUGUAGGAAAACUGGUCUGUCAUGUCCAAAACAAAGUCAGCAAAAGCUCUGGUGAAGUGACGUUAACCACUUGUGGUUACAUCUUCAUAAACUGCACUUUGUCCAAUGGGACAGACAUAUUGCAGUGGGUGCUUGAGGCCACUAACACGUUGUGUGUUGACCCAACAACAGCCCCUAUGGGUAAGGAGCCUCCCAUUGAUUCAGUUACUGUCACUUCUACCAAUGUGACAAGCAGCAGCCAUGACCUGUGCUCAUAUUCACAAAGCAUCCUAAGGCUAAAAGUAGCUCUUAGUGAUGUCACUCUUAGAAAAAUCUUAGAAUUCCUCAAAUUUUAAGAUUUUUCCUGGUUAAGAUAAAAGUAAUUCACAAAGCUUCCGAGGCCCUAAGAGAGCUCCUAAGGAGUAAAACUGUUAAUAGUAGUUAGGAGGACUUUUAGGAAGCCUAAAAGUGUCUUAAACAGACAGAAACAGAGAGUGGACGGAGCGAUAUUCUCUGUAUGUUUCAUGACAGUGAUUUAAUAACAUGCUACCAGCUUGUAUUUAUUAUUAUUAUUAUUAUUAUUAUUAUUAUUAUUA